RNAcentral lists this ribosomal RNA (364 nucleotides) under Streptococcus lutetiensis. RNAcentral's name for it is "bacterial SSU rRNA". It matches the Rfam family "Bacterial small subunit ribosomal RNA", at positions 57 to 412 of the family's 1533-position model. The record is from RNAcentral. Lineage: Bacteria; Bacillati; Bacillota; Bacilli; Lactobacillales; Streptococcaceae.
GCAGUAGAACGCUGAAGACUUUAGCUUGCUAAAGUUGGAAGAGUUGCGAACGGGUGAGUAACGCGUAGGUAACCUGCCUACUAGCGGGGGAUAACUAUUGGAAACGAUAGCUAAUACCGCAUAACAGCAUUUAACACAUGUUAGAUGCUUGAAAGGAGCAAUUGCUUCACUAGUAGAUGGACCUGCGUUGUAUUAGCUAGUUGGUGAGGUAACGGCUCACCAAGGCGACGAUACAUAGCCGACCUGAGAGGGUGAUCGGCCACACUGGGACUGAGACACGGCCCAGACUCCUACGGGAGGCAGCAGUAGGGAAUCUUCGGCAAUGGGGGCAACCCUGACCGAGCAACGCCGCGUGAGUGAAGAA